CACCCAGGACGGUGGAA
RNAcentral lists this ribosomal RNA (17 nucleotides) under Chorthippus parallelus parallelus. RNAcentral's name for it is "partial 5.8S ribosomal RNA". Lineage: Eukaryota; Metazoa; Arthropoda; Insecta; Orthoptera; Acrididae. RNAcentral also lists the same sequence under 1 other name. The record is from RNAcentral.